UACGGAGGAUCCGAGCGUUAUCCGGAUUUAUUGGGUUUAAAGGGUGCGCAGGCGGCAUCUCAAGUCUGUGGUGAAAUGUCAGGGCUCAACCUUGGCACUGCCAUGGAAACUGGGGAGCUAGAGUGCGUUUGGGGUGCAUGGAAUGUGUGGUGUAGCGGUGAAAUGCAUAGAUAUCACACAGAACGCCGAUCGCGAAGGCAGUGCACCAAGCCGCAACUGACGCUCAGGCACGAAAGUGCGGGGAU
Molecule: ribosomal RNA, 245 nt
Filed under: uncultured Bacteroidales bacterium
Lineage: Bacteria; Pseudomonadati; Bacteroidota; Bacteroidia; Bacteroidales
Description: partial 16S ribosomal RNA
Rfam family: Bacterial small subunit ribosomal RNA
Source: RNAcentral